CAUUACCGAAACUCUCAUAUUUCUCUCACACUUCAAUAGCUCUAUCUCAUAAAAUUUCUCUUCAGAAACCCUAAAUCCCAAAAUUUCUCUUCGCACGAUAACCCUUCAAUCGCUAAACGCUCCUUCCCUGAACUCAAUCGUUCAACCCUUCAUAUGCUGCUGAAACCCUCAUUCGAUGGCUGAACUCAACCGCUCGCUGAACUCAAUCGAUGGUUGAACACUUGAUUCGCUCAAUAGCUCCCUCCCUAAACUGAAUCGCUCCAAAUUUCUUCUCACAAGCCAUCAAUCCUUCAGUGGCUCAACCCCUCUUCUCUAAAUCUCUUGUCACAACUAGAUUUACUGGAGGUAAGGGAGAACCGCGUUUCUCUGCAGUUAUUUUGUGGGUUUAAGCUAUUAUUUUCAGCGUUUGGUCGCAAGUUCCAUGAUUUUGUUCGAUUCAUAUUUAGAAUGCUUACUGUAGGUUUUUUUUAGAAGCUACUUGUUUCUUUCAUAUUUUCCUUAUACAACAAAAUGUUGUUUGUGAUUUUUUCUCACAAGUAUUUUGUAUUCCUGCUUUAUUUUUUAUUUUCAAGUGUCAAUAAUCUUUAGUGGGAACUGACCUAUUAUAUUAGGUUUGUAGAUGCAACAAUGUAUUUGAAUCUACCUUAUUGUGUUUCCUGUAUGAAUAAAGUGAGGAUAACUCAAAUUUCUGUGAGACUUAUAUAUGCUAUUGUUUUUUAUUCUGAUUUCUUGUCUUGUGUUGUGUGUCUCUUAAUGGCUUUUUUUACAAUUUACUAUAAUGACAUUACCCUUUGAGAAUUAUUGGCUAUGAUUGGAUUCCCUUAUCUGCCAAACUAGUUUUAACUAUGAACAAUGUAUACAUACUCUUCUGGAUUUGCAAACUCAAUGAGAUGUAGGAAAGGGAAAAAAGAUGGCAAGUUUUUCUAGCAGUGCCAGUGCUUCGAUGAUGACGAAAUGUACUGCUGACAGUUUGAAUUCUGAUUGUACGUGUGCGGGUUCUUUGACCUUCUCUCUAGAUCUUGGUGAAGCCGGUUUCUUGGGAUUAACUGGAUUACAGAAUCUAGGAAAUAUUUGCUUCAUGAACAGUGCCCUUCAAUGUGAAAUGUGUAAGUGGAUCAAGCUACUCAUGGUGGUGGCAGAGCAUAUGGUGCAUUGCUGUUGGAUGCUGGAGGUACCCUCUUGAAGUUGAUCAAUCUUGUUCAAUAUACUUAUGCCGUUAUUGGAUCAAGAUAUGGAGGUCAGGUCAGAGCGGAAUUACAACUUCUAGAAAGGAGACUGAUACAUGUAAAAUAUUUUCAGGAGUUUCAGAUGGUGUUACUACAGAAACUCCAAUCCACGUAUUUGUGCCUAUCUCUUAUUUAUGGGCAAAAUACCUCAAUUGUCCAUAAUGGUUUUUUGGGAUGAAGGGAAAAUGUAUAUUGGCAUUCCAUUACCAGAAUAUGUUUUGUACUCUUAUAAGGGAGGUUGGGAGAAUGAUGAAACUGUUGAAGAGGCUGCUGUAAGAGAAGCUAUAGAAGAAGCAGGAGUUCGAGGUGAUCUAAUGGUGAGAAAUGUGAAUUUAAUAACUUUUGAGCUUCUGCAAUAAUGCUUUUGAUUUUUCUGUAAUAUCACGAUGGAUUUAAGAGUCUGAAUGUUUUGACUUUUGAUGAUCUCAUAAUGGGAAUCUAGGUUCGGUGCAUAUAGUAAAGUCAUAUCAUCUUCGGUCCCUGUAAUUUUUUUUGGCUGAAAUGGUUCCUAUAAUAUUUACCUUUUUCACUUCAGUCGAUGUUUGCUUUGUUUCCGUCCCUAUAAAAUACUUUUUUUGGAUUUGUUUUAGUCCCUGUGAGGAUCACUAACACCACUGCCAAUAGCAGCUGCAAAAGUACUAGUUGAUCCCGAUCCUAAUCCUGUUUCCCAAACAUCCCAAUUGUUGUGAAUGUAUGAAGGAAGAUGAAUUCUAAUCCUUUUUAGUCAACAGGGUUAUUGUCAUGUUGGUGAUGUUUUGAUAAUAUUACACAACAUUGGUACCAUUGUUUUGCAGCUUGCAGUUUGAAAAUACCUUCUACCAUAGAAUUCUCAAGGCUAGGAACUUUUCUCCACUAUAAGAGAUUACUACUCUCACAUGUACUUAAAACCAGUAAAUUUUAUAUCACCGGGCUUAUUAGUUAAUAUACCCCUCUCAUGGCAAGUAACAAGAAGCAAGGCUUAAUCUCAA
Vicia villosa (hairy vetch) is the source of this 2194-nucleotide long non-coding RNA. RefSeq lists it as uncharacterized. The record is from RefSeq and is a predicted model, not a curated record. The transcript has 5 exons. NCBI's taxonomy places the organism in Eukaryota, Viridiplantae, Streptophyta, Magnoliopsida, Fabales, Fabaceae.